RNAcentral lists this ribosomal RNA (253 nucleotides) under uncultured bacterium. RNAcentral's name for it is "partial 16S ribosomal RNA". It matches the Rfam family "Bacterial small subunit ribosomal RNA", at positions 524 to 776 of the family's 1533-position model. The record is from RNAcentral.
UACAGAGGUGGCAAGCGUUGUCCGGAAUUACUGGGCGUAACGCGCGCGUAGGCGGCUAGAUAAGUCCGGUGUGAACUCCCACGGCUUAACCGGGGAACGGCAUCGGGGACGGUUUAGCUUGAGGACGGGAGAGGAGAGCGGAAUUCCCGGUGUAGCGGUGAAAUGAGUAGAGAUCGGGAGGAAGGCCGGUGGCGAAGGCGGCUCUCUAGAACGUCACUGACGCUGAGGCGCGAAAGCGUGGGGAGCAAACAGG